Molecule: ribosomal RNA, 325 nt
Filed under: uncultured eukaryote
Lineage: Eukaryota
Description: partial 18S ribosomal RNA
Rfam family: Eukaryotic small subunit ribosomal RNA
Source: RNAcentral
CCCUUAGAUGUUCUGGGCCGCACGCGCGCUACACUGAUGCAUUCAACAAGUUUUACCUUGGCCGAGAGGCCUGGGAAAUCUUUCAAAUAUGCAUCGUGAUAGGGAUAGAUUAUUGCAAUUAUUAAUCUUGAACGAGGAAUUCCUAGUAAAUGCAGAUCAUCAUUCUGCGUUGAUUACGUCCCUGCCCUUUGUACACACCGCCCGUCGCACCUACCGAUUGAAUGAUCCGGUGAAGCCUCGGGAUUGUGCCCAGAGAACUUUAUUGUGAUUUGGGUGUGAGAACUUGUCUAAACCUUAUCAUUUAGAGGAAGGUGAAGUCGUAACA